UCCUUCGGGAGCACCGGCGGACUGCUCAGUAACACGUGGACAACCUACCCUCGGGUGGGGGAUAACCUCGGGAAACUGAGGCUAAUACCCCAUAGGCCUCGGAUACUGGAAGGUUCCGAGACCGAAAGCUCCGGCGCCCGAGGAUGGGUCUGCGGCCUAUCAGGUAGUUGGUGGUGUAAAGGACCACCAAGCCUACGACGGGUACGGGCCCUGAGAGGGGGAGCCCGGAGAUGGACUCUGAGACACGAGUCCAGGCCCUACGGGGCGCAGCAGGCGCGAAACCUUCGCAAUGCGCGAAAGCGCGACGAGGGGAGCCCGAGUGCCCUUCCUUUCGGGAGGGCUUUUCUGGAGCCUAAAAAGCUCCAGGAAUAAGGGCUGGGCAAGACGGGUGCCAGCCGCCGCGGUAAUACCCGCAGCUCGAGUGGUGGCCACUAUUAUUGAGCCUAAAGCGUCCGUAGCCGGACCCGUAAAUCCCUGGGUAAAUCCUGGCGCUCAACGUCAGGAAUUCCGGGGAGACUGCGGGUCUUGAGACCGGGAGAGGCCGGAGGUACUCCCGGGGUAGGGGUAAAAUCCUGUAAUCCCNG
RNAcentral lists this ribosomal RNA (584 nucleotides) under uncultured archaeon. RNAcentral's name for it is "bacterial SSU rRNA". It matches the Rfam family "Archaeal small subunit ribosomal RNA", at positions 66 to 651 of the family's 1478-position model. The record is from RNAcentral.